Molecule: ribosomal RNA, 352 nt
Filed under: uncultured bacterium
Lineage: Bacteria
Description: partial 16S ribosomal RNA
Rfam family: Bacterial small subunit ribosomal RNA
Source: RNAcentral
GGAGGAUCCGAGCGUNAUCCGGACUUANNGGGUNUAAAGGGAGCGUAGAUGGAUGNCNAAGNCAGUCGUGAAAGUNUGCGGCCCAACCGUAAAANCGCAGUNGAUACNGGAUAUCUUGAGUGCAGUNGAGGCAGGCGGAAUUCGUGGUGUAGCGGUGAAAUGCUUAGAUAUCACGAAGAACUCCGAUUGCGAAGGCAGCCUGCUAGGCUGCAACUGACAUUGAGGCUCGAAAGUGUGGGUAUCAAACAGGAUUAGAUACCCUGGUAGUCCACACGGUAAACGAUGAAUACUCGCUGUUUGCGAUAUACAGCAAGCGGCCAAGCGAAAGCGUUAAGUAUUCCACCUGGGGAGU